GACGAACGCUGGCGGCGUGCCUAAUACAUGCAAGUAGAACGCUGAAGGAGGAGCUUGCUUCUCUGGAUGAGUUGCGAACGGGUGAGUAACGCGUAGGUAACCUGCCUGGUAGCGGGGGAUAACUAUUGGAAACGAUAGCUAAUACCGCAUAAGAGUAGAUGUUGCAUGACAUUUGCUUAAAAGGUGCAAUUGCAUCACUACCAGAUGGACCUGCGUUGUAUUAGCUAGUUGGUGGGGUAACGGCUCACCAAGGCGACGAUACAUAGCCGACCUGAGAGGGGGGUCGGCCACACUGGGACUGAGACACGGCCCAGACUCCUACGGGAGGCAGCAGUAGGGAAUCUUCGGCAAUGGACGGAAGUCUGACCGAGCAACGCCGCGUGAGUGAAGAAGGGUGUCGGAUCGUAAAGCUCUGUUGUAAGAGAAGAACGAGUGUGAGAGUGGAAAGUUCACACUGUGACGGUAGCUUAACAGAAAGGGACGGCUAACUACGUG
RNAcentral lists this ribosomal RNA (495 nucleotides) under uncultured bacterium. Its description in RNAcentral is "partial 16S ribosomal RNA". It matches the Rfam family "Bacterial small subunit ribosomal RNA", at positions 28 to 507 of the family's 1533-position model. The record is from RNAcentral.